This 254-nucleotide ribosomal RNA is filed under the name uncultured bacterium. RNAcentral's name for it is "partial 16S ribosomal RNA". It matches the Rfam family "Bacterial small subunit ribosomal RNA", at positions 524 to 776 of the family's 1533-position model. The record is from RNAcentral.
UACGUAGGGUGCGAGCGUUGUCCGGAAUUAUUGGGCGUAAAGAGCUCGUAGGCGGUUCGGUAAGUCGGGUGUGAAAACUCUGGGCUCAACCCAGAGACGCCACCCGAUACUGCUGUGACUUGAGUCUGGUAGGGGAGCACGGAAUUCCUGGUGUAGCGGUGAAAUGCAUAGAUAUCAGGAGGAACACCGGUGGCGAAGGCGGUGCUCUGGGCCAGUACUGACGCUGAAGAGCGAAAGCGUGGGGAGCGAACAGG